Molecule: transfer RNA, 76 nt
Filed under: Candidatus Omnitrophota bacterium
Lineage: Bacteria; Pseudomonadati; Candidatus Omnitrophota
Description: tRNA-His
Rfam family: tRNA
About the family: Transfer RNA (tRNA) molecules are approximately 80 nucleotides in length. Their secondary structure includes four short double-helical elements and three loops (D, anti-codon, and T loops).
Source: RNAcentral
GUGGGCGUAGCUCAGCGGUUAGAGCACCUGGCUGUGGCCCAGGGGGUCGCGGGUUCAAAUCCCGUCGCUCACCCCA